This 440-nucleotide ribosomal RNA is filed under the name uncultured bacterium. RNAcentral's name for it is "partial 16S ribosomal RNA". It matches the Rfam family "Bacterial small subunit ribosomal RNA", at positions 339 to 795 of the family's 1533-position model. The record is from RNAcentral.
CUACGGGUUGCUCCAGUGGGGAAUCUUGCGCAAUGGGCGAAAGCCUGACGCAGCAACGCCGCGUGCGGGAUGAAGGCCUUCGGGCUGUAAACCGCUUUCAGCAGGAACGAAAAUGACGGUACCUGCAGAAGAAGGAGCGGCCAACUACGUGCCAGCAGCCGCGGUGACACGUAGGCUCCAAGCGUUGUCCGGAUUUAUUGGGCGUAAAGAGCUCGUAGGCGGUUGAGUAAGUCGGGUGUGAAAACUCUGGGCUUAACCCGGAGACGCCAUCCGAUACUGCUCUGACUAGAGUUCAGGAGGGGAGUGGGGAAUUCCUAGUGUAGCGGUGAAAUGCGCAGAUAUUAGGAGGAACACCGGUGGCGAAGGCGCCACUCUGGACUGAAACUGACGCUGAGGAGCGAAAGCAUGGGUAGCAAACAGGAUUAGGUACCCCUGUAGUC